CUGUGUGCAGGAUAAGCGGUUUGACAAUGGAUGGAUGGAUGAUUCGGAAAGUGCUUUUGAUCGUUCAUUGAUUUGAACGUGUUUUUUUGGGAAGACGCACGCGGAUUAAGGUGAAAAUCAAUUGCGUUUGGAACAAUUGGUUUAUUUAUUUAUUUUGUUGGUGCGUGAGAGGAGGAGAACAAUUAGGUAAAUUUGUACCUUGGCCGUGGUUAAAGUAGGCCAGGUUGAAGUAUUGGCGGUGAGCGAUUGUUUGACAAGUGUAGGUCUGCACUGCGCGUCAAGAUUGAUCGAUUUGAUAAAGUAUUCGAUAAAAUUAUCAGAGCUUUACGAGUGCCCGUUAGUUGUAAUGUUUGUUAUUUUAGUUUAUUUUUGUGCUAUCCUGGGCAGAGGGCACCGUCGUGGAAGCCUUCUUUAACGGCAUUUUGUCGGGGAAGUUAAGGCUCCGCUGAUAUCGUGUAAUAAAAAUCUCUGUCCUUGGGAUAUGCAUGACGAGGAUCGCUAUUUUUUCUUUCUUUUUACAGGGCAGCUCUGUUUUGUCUCGUCUGAUGCGCAGUGUGGUAGCCACAUUUGCAUUGGGAAAAGGUGAGCUUGUUAUCUUUAUUUGCAAGAAUUGUAUGGGGUAAAAAUCGUUUCAUUUGUAUGGCUAGUUUGGAGGAUUUUUUUGUUACUCCAUCCGUGGAGGUUUGGAAUAAUUUGACAAAGGAUCAGUUGCGCCGGGUUUGUGACCAUUAUGGCCUUGACUUAGGUUUACCAAGAACAGCAAAAUUAGCCCAGAUUAGAUUGUCCGUUCAGGCUGAAUUGGUUAAGAAUAUUUUGUCACCUGAAUCUAAAAUUAUGGAUGAUUUGGGAGAAGCACUGUCGACACCUCAUUCGACAGGGUGUUCUAAGGUGGCGCUCACGUUUGAGCAACAAAAGGUGUUGCUAGAAAUGCAACAGGAAGAGAGAGAAGCUCAACGUGAGGCAGAACGUCAAGAGAGAAGCUCAACGAGAGGCAGAUCGACAGGAAGCUAAACGCGAGUUAGAGAGGGAAAGAAUAAAAAGUGAACGUGAUGUGGCGUUGGAACGGCUAAGACUGAGUGCUGAAGGUAGGCUUCCAGUUGAUGGGGAGGAGGGUCCUGCUCCUAGGGAGUCUGUGCGUUCCCCUGAUAUAUCUAGCAUGGUUAGGUUGCUGCCAAAAUUCAAUGAAAGAGAUCCAGAUAUUUUCUUUUCUUUAUUUGAGAGUGUGGCUGAUGACCGUGGCUGGACUGACUCUGAAAGAACGUUGGUAAUCCAAAGUGUUCUUGUAGGUAGAGCGCAAGAAGCGUUUAUUGCUUUGCCUGUACCAGAUCGAAAAAAGUAUGUCAAAGUAAAAGAGGCAGUGCUUAAAAUUUAUGAAUUGGUUCCUGAGGCUUAUCGUUUGCGGUUUCGCAGCUGGAGAAAGGGAGAAAAACAGACUUAUACAGAGGUAGCGAGGGAAUUGUACAGCCACUUUAAUCGUUGGUGCUCCGCGGUGGGAGUCACUACUUUUGAAGAAUUGUCUAACCUGAUUGUUUUAGAACAGUUCAGAAACAUCCUUCCGGAGCGCGUCGCUACACAUAUAUUUGAGCAUAAGAUGAAAACCGCAGCGGAAGGCGCAGUUGUGGCUGACGAUUUUGCUUUGACACAUAAGUAUAGUUUAAAAGACACAGGUCAGAUUUAUCAGGAAAAACGUUUUGGACGUUUCAAUAGAGCUUUGGGGUCUUCUUCGUUGGGUUCAUUUGAGUCACCUACUCAGAGUAGAGUAGAUUCACAUUCCAAUCAGUCACACAGAGGUGCCGUGAGUUUUCGCAGAGAUUCUAGGUUUUCUGCGUUUACACCUGCCAGUCAGGCUAAGAAUGAUGCUGAUGUGUCGAUACUGUUUGGAAAAGGGGCACUGGAAGAGAGACUGUCCUGUGUUAAAGGGGAAAAGUCAGAGAAAGGGUACUGAGGUUGUUAGGGGGAAACGGUGGACCUGACUCAGUUGUGCCUGGGGGAAGUGGUUAUUUUCCUUUUGUUACGGAUGGGUUAGUUUCACUGGUGGGUAGUUCCAACCAAGUGCCAGUUAAGAUACUUAGGGACACAGGGGCGUCUGAGUCUUUUAUCUUGAAGUCUGUAUUGCCUUUUUCUGCAGACUCUAGUACUGGGAACAAUGUUUUAGUCCGGGGGAUUGGGUUGCAAGUUGUCUCUGUUCCAUUGCACAGGAUUAAUCUGCAGUCGGAUUUAGUGCAAGGGGAAGUAAAAAUAGCAGUUCGCCCUUCUUUACCAAUAGAGGGCGUCCAUCUUCUUUUAGGUAACAACCUGGCUGGAGAACGUGUCUGGCGUGAUGUACUGCCCCCUGUAAUUGUUAACAAUGUUCCUUCUAUUCCAGCCGACAGUGACGUUGGUGGUCAGAAUUUGACUGUCUUUACAGCUUGUGCCGUGACACGGGCUUUGAGUCGUGCCUCUAAUGAUGACGUUUCUCAGAGUAGAGAGUUUAAGUUUGUUGUUGUGCCUAAUUUACCACCAUCUCUCUCUCAUAGUGAUUUUGUUGCAGCUCAAAAGGAGGAUGCAACAUUGAAAGAUCUGUUCGUUGGGGUGUUAACGCCUGUGGAGUUGCGAAAUGCAUCGCGAGGGUAUUUUAUUCAGGAUGGGUUGUUGAUCCGGAAGUGGUCCUCUCACACUGACGACGGGGUUGAUGAUCCAGUGUUUCAAGUGAUAGUACCAUGUAAGUUUAGAGACCUGGUCCUACAGACAGCUCAUGGGAACGUAGCUGGGCACUUGGGGGUUAGAAAAACCUAUGACUGUCUUAUGAAGUACUUCUAUUGGCCUCGCAUAAAGAAGGAUGUGGCAGCCUUCAUUAAGACGUGUCAUGUAUGCCAGUUGACGGGGAAGCCAAAUCAGGUGUUAAAGCCAGCUCCACUUUACCCAAUUCCAGCUCUAGGGAAACCAUUUGAAAAUUUGUUAAUUGAUUGUGUAGGACCAUUGCCUUCAUCUAAGUCAGGGAGUGUUUACCUGCUGACGGUAAUGUGUCAGUCUACCCGGUAUCCCGCUGCCUAUGCGUUGCGUACAAUCACAACUAGGUCGGUGGUGAAAGCCCUUUCACAGUUUAUUUCCAUC
Long non-coding RNA from Gasterosteus aculeatus aculeatus (three-spined stickleback), 3093 nucleotides. Lineage: Eukaryota; Metazoa; Chordata; Actinopteri; Perciformes; Gasterosteidae. The record is from Ensembl.